GUGCUCGCUGCAGAAGUACAUAUGCUAAAAGGGGAACCACAGAGAAGAGUAGCACGGCCCCUGCGCAAGGAUGACAUGCAAAUUUGUGAAGAGUUCCAUAUAAUU
RNAcentral lists this small nuclear RNA (105 nucleotides) under Propithecus coquereli (Coquerel's sifaka). The record is from RNAcentral. Lineage: Eukaryota; Metazoa; Chordata; Mammalia; Primates; Indriidae.